UGUUGUGCGCUGAUGCCGAACAUGGGCACGUGCUUGGCGAUUGCAUCUUGGUCCCGUUCAAAUUGGUCUUGAUCUGCAAUGGAUACAACCAGGCAUUUGGUUCUCUCUAUGACUCGUCGUCUAGUUCUUGGGGAAAUAUUUUCUCGACGGCGAUAGCAAAUGAAAUUUAUGCCAGAAGGGGCAGCAUCCUUGUUGGAAAUGUGCUUUGCUAGUUUAUUUGUGGAGGUGAUGUCCUUGUGUUUGACAUCCAAAUGCAGAGUCUUGGUGUGAUCGAGAAGCCGGCAGACAACCAUGUUACCAUUGACUUGUUUUUUCAGCUCUUGCGGACGGAGAAUAGUGGACUAGGCCUUGCUGUUUUGUCGGAACGGAUCAUCCAAUUAUGGGAGAGGAAACCUAACUGUGAUGGUGUUGUCGGAUGGGUGUUGCUGUAGAAAACCAUUCCUUUGAAGGGGUUGCUUCCAAGCACAAAGCCUUUGGUACUUAUCGUGGGGUAUGAUGAGGACACAAAUGUGAUUGUUCUGUCUACGGGGAUUGGCAACUUCAUGCUCCAACUUGACUCAGUGCAGAUCAAACAUAUCAUUAAAAGAAAUGGCAUGUGCAUCGACAUGUUUUAUCCCUACCAUAAUUUCUACACUGCAGGCAGGGGAGUUGGGUGGAAAUGGGUGGAGCUGGAACUUUGAACUCUUGUGAUCUAGUAAUGUGCUAUCUUGGUUGAAUGAGUGAGGUACCCAGGGUUAUACAUGGGUUGCUAAAAUGAAGAAAAAUGUCUAAUUUGUUUGGUCUCCUCCAUAUGCUGAAGCAUGCGAUGUGGUUGACGCUAAGAUUGCACCUCUGUAGUAUGUCGGUUGUUCUACUUUUAUGUA
Molecule: long non-coding RNA, 863 nt
Organism: Triticum dicoccoides
Lineage: Eukaryota; Viridiplantae; Streptophyta; Magnoliopsida; Poales; Poaceae
Exons: 3
Source: RefSeq, a predicted model, not a curated record